UCAGGACGAACGCUGGCGGCGUGCCUAAUACAUGCAAGUCGAACGGUCUUUCUAUGGAAGCUUGCUUCCACUGAGAAGAUAGUGGCGAACGGGUGAGUAACACGUGGGUAACCUGCCCAUAAGAGGGGGAUAACAUCCGGAAACGGGUGCUAAUACCACAUAGUUUUCUUGAUCGCAUGAUUGAGAAAGGAAAGACGGCCUUUGUGCUGUCGCUUAUGGAUGGACCCGCGGCGUAUUAGUUAGUUGGUGAGGUAACGGCUCACCAAGACGAUGAUACGUAGCCGACCUGAGAGGGUGAUCGGCCACAUUGGGACUGAGACACGGCCCAAACUCCUACGGGAGGCAGCAGUAGGGAAUCUUCCGCAAUGGACGAAAGUCUGACGGAGCAACGCCGCGUGAGUGAAAGAAGGUUUUCGGAUCGUAAAACUCUGUUGUCAGAGAAGAACAAGUUGGAGAGUAACUGCUCCAGCCUUGACGGUAUCUGACCAGAAAGCCACGGCUAACUACGUGCCAGCCGCCGC
Molecule: ribosomal RNA, 521 nt
Filed under: uncultured bacterium
Lineage: Bacteria
Description: bacterial SSU rRNA
Rfam family: Bacterial small subunit ribosomal RNA
Source: RNAcentral